Molecule: ribosomal RNA, 342 nt
Filed under: uncultured bacterium
Lineage: Bacteria
Description: bacterial SSU rRNA
Rfam family: Bacterial small subunit ribosomal RNA
Source: RNAcentral
UCAGACACGUCAGAGUUUGAUCCUGGCUCAGAGUGAACGCUGGCGGCGUGCCUAAUACAUGCAAGUCGAACGGAGUAUUAAGAGAGCUUGCUCUUUUAAUACUUAGUGGCGCACGGGUGAGUAAUGUAUAGUUAAUCUGCCCUACACUGGAGGACAACAGUUAGAAAUGACUGCUAAUACUCCAUACUCCUUCUUAACAUAAGUUAAGUUGGGAAAGUUUUUUCGGUGUAGGAUGAGACUAUAUUGUAUCAGCUAGUUGGUAAGGUAAUGGCUUACCAAGGCUAUGACGCAUAACUGGUCUGAGAGGAUGAUCAGUCACACUGGAACUGAGACACGGUCCAG